GAGGAUAUAGCUCAAGUGGUAGAGCGCAUGCUUAGCAUACAGAUAGUCCUGGGUUCAAUCCCCAGUACCCCCU
Molecule: transfer RNA, 73 nt
Organism: Camelus ferus (Wild Bactrian camel)
Lineage: Eukaryota; Metazoa; Chordata; Mammalia; Artiodactyla; Camelidae
Rfam family: tRNA
About the family: Transfer RNA (tRNA) molecules are approximately 80 nucleotides in length. Their secondary structure includes four short double-helical elements and three loops (D, anti-codon, and T loops).
Source: Rfam